This 405-nucleotide unclassified non-coding RNA is filed under the name soil metagenome. RNAcentral describes it as "partial contains 5.8S ribosomal RNA, internal transcribed spacer 2, and large subunit ribosomal RNA". The stretch from base 1 to 121 matches the Rfam family "5.8S ribosomal RNA", at positions 35 to 154 of the family's 154-position model. The record is from RNAcentral.
GAUGAAGAACGCAGGGAAAUGCGAUAAGUAAUGUGAAUUGCAGAAUUCAGUGAAUCAUCGAAUCUUUGAACGCACCUUGCGCCCUUUGGCCAUUCCGAAGGGCAUGCCUGUUUGAGUAUCAUGAACACCUCAACUCUUUAUGGUUUUCCAUGAUGAGCUUGGACUCUGGGGGUUUUGCUGGCUCACAGUCGGCUCCUCUAAAAUGAAUCAGCUUACCAGUGUUUGGUGGGUAUCAUGGGUGUGAUAACUAUCUACGCUUGUGGUUUUUCCACCAGGUAACCUUCAGCAGUGGAGGUUCGCUGGAGCUCAUAGAUGUCUCUCCUCAGUGAGGACAGCCCUUUGAAUGUUUGAUCUCAAAUCAGGUAGGACUACCCGCUGAACUUAAGCAUAUCAAUAAGCGGAGGA